UACAGAGGGGGCAAGCGUUGUUCGGAAUUACUGGGCGUAAAGGGCGCGUAGGCGGCCCGCUAAGUCGAACGUGAAAUCCCCGAGCUCAACUCGGGAACUGCGUCCGAUACUGGUGGGCUUGAAUCCGGGAGAGGGAUGCGGAAUUCCAGGUGUAGCGGUGAAAUGCGUAGAGAUGUGGAGGAAUACCGAUGGCGAAGGCAGCCCCCUGGGCCAAUACUGACGCUCAUGCACGAAAGCGUGGGGAGCAAACAGG
RNAcentral lists this ribosomal RNA (253 nucleotides) under uncultured bacterium. RNAcentral describes it as "partial 16S ribosomal RNA". It matches the Rfam family "Bacterial small subunit ribosomal RNA", at positions 524 to 776 of the family's 1533-position model. The record is from RNAcentral.